ACUCAAAUGAAUAGACGGGGACCCGCACAAGCGGUGGAGCGUGUUGUUUAAUUCGAUGAUAAGCGAAGAACCUUACCAGGGCUUGACAUCCUACUAAUUUCUGCGAAAGCAGAGAGUGUCUUCGGACCGUAGUGACAGGUGCUGCAUGGCCGUCGUCAGCUCGUGUCGUGAGAUGUUUGGUUAAGUCCAUCAACGAGCGCAACCCUUGUGGCUAGUUGGAUUUUUCUAGUCAGACUGCCCCGGUAACGGGGAGGAAGGAGGGGAUGAUGUCAGGUCAGUAUUGCCCUUACGUCCUGGGCUACAAACACGCUACAAUGGCCGGUACAAAGGGCUGCCAAGUCGCGAGACGGAGCAAACCCCAUCAAAACCGGUCUCAGUUCGGAUAGCAGGCUGAAACUCGCCUGCUUGAAGCUGGAAUCGCUAGUAACGGUAGGUCAGCACACUACCGUGAAUACGUUCCCGGGUCUUGUACACACCGCCCGU
This 483-nucleotide ribosomal RNA is filed under the name uncultured bacterium. RNAcentral's name for it is "partial 16S ribosomal RNA". It matches the Rfam family "Bacterial small subunit ribosomal RNA", at positions 899 to 1397 of the family's 1533-position model. The record is from RNAcentral.